This 156-nucleotide small nuclear RNA is filed under the name Mucor ambiguus. RNAcentral's name for it is "U11 spliceosomal RNA". It matches the Rfam family "U11 spliceosomal RNA". The record is from Rfam by way of RNAcentral. Lineage: Eukaryota; Fungi; Mucoromycota; Mucoromycetes; Mucorales; Mucoraceae.
AAAAAGGGCGUGCCAUAAUGCCGUUCUCUAGGGAAUCGGUUGAUAUGGCGGGAGUCUUGGUUUACUCCCGCGGUAUGGCAAUCAAGACAUAUCGAGCGCAUAAUUUUUUGAUUUAGGGUGGCUCGCAAUAGGCUUCGCUCAAGCCGGGGCCACCUU